UACGUAGGGGGCGAGCGUUGUCCGGAUUUAUUGGGCGUAAAGAGCGUGUAGGCGGUUCGGUAAGUCUGUCGUGAAAUCCUGAGGCUCAACCUCGGGCGUGCGAUGGAUACUGCCGGGCUAGAGGAUGGUAGAGGCGAGUGGAAUUCCCGGUGUAGAGGUGAAAUUCGUAGAUAUUAGGAAGAACACCAGUGGCGAAGGCGGCUCACUGGCCCGGUACUGACGCUGAGGCGCGAAAGCGUGGGGAGCAAACAGG
Molecule: ribosomal RNA, 253 nt
Filed under: uncultured bacterium
Lineage: Bacteria
Description: partial 16S ribosomal RNA
Rfam family: Bacterial small subunit ribosomal RNA
Source: RNAcentral